This 260-nucleotide long non-coding RNA is filed under the name Brassica napus (rape). RNAcentral describes it as "long non-coding RNA (BNAP_LNC013189)". The record is from RNAcentral. Lineage: Eukaryota; Viridiplantae; Streptophyta; Magnoliopsida; Brassicales; Brassicaceae.
UUUUACGAAACAAAAUUAAUUCUGUAAAAUUAACUUCGGAAUUUUUUUUUGUGAAACAUAUUUCGUAAAUCAAAACAAACAGUUUUUUACGAAAAAACUUUUGUAAAAUCAAUGUAACUCAACGAUUUACGAAAAAAAUCUUGGGGAAGGCACAUGACACUAGAACGAAAAAGACAGGAGAAGAGCUGAGUGUGACUAAUCGCCUACACUCUCUAUCCUCCUCCACAUCACCCAAUCCCCUCUCCUCCUGCACAUCGCCC